This 468-nucleotide ribosomal RNA is filed under the name uncultured bacterium. Its description in RNAcentral is "partial 16S ribosomal RNA". It matches the Rfam family "Bacterial small subunit ribosomal RNA", at positions 28 to 507 of the family's 1533-position model. The record is from RNAcentral.
GAUGAACGCUGGCGGCGUGCUUAACACAUGCAAGUCGAACGGAAAGGCCCUGCUUUUGUGGGGUGCUCGAGUGGCGAACGGGUGAGUAACACGUGAGUAACCUGCCCUUGACUUUGGGAUAACUUCAGGAAACUGGGGCUAAUACCGGAUAGGAGCUCCUGCUGCAUGGUGGGGGUUGGAAAGUUUCGGCGGUUGGGGAUGGACUCGCGGCUUAUCAGCUUGUUGGUGGGGUAGUGGCUUACCAAGGCUUUGACGGGUAGCCGGCCUGAGAGGGUGACCGGCCACAUUGGGACUGAGAUACGGCCCAGACUCCUACGGGAGGCAGCAGUGGGAAAUAUUGCACAAUGGGCGGAAGCCUGAUGCAGCAACGCCGCGUGCGGGAUGACGGCCUUCGGGUUGUAAACCGCUUUCGCCUGUGACGAAGCGUGAGUGACGGUAAUGGGUAAAGAAGCACCGGCUAACUACGUG